GGAGAGGUGUCCGAGAGGCCGAAGGAGCACGCCUGGAAAGCGUGUGUAGGGUCAAACUUACCGUGGGUUCGAAUCCCACCCUCUCCG
This 87-nucleotide transfer RNA is filed under the name Calditrichota bacterium. RNAcentral describes it as "Calditrichaeota bacterium (marine metagenome) tRNA-Ser". It matches the Rfam family "tRNA". From Rfam's summary of the family: Transfer RNA (tRNA) molecules are approximately 80 nucleotides in length. Their secondary structure includes four short double-helical elements and three loops (D, anti-codon, and T loops). Further hydrogen bonds mediate the characteristic L-shaped molecular structure. tRNAs have two regions of fundamental functional importance: the anti-codon, which is responsible for specific mRNA codon recognition, and the 3' end, to which the tRNAs corresponding amino acid is attached (by aminoacyl-tRNA synthetases). tRNAs cope with the degeneracy of the genetic code in two manners: having more than one tRNA (with a specific anti-codon) for a particular amino acid; and 'wobble' base-pairing, i.e. permitting non-standard base-pairing at the 3rd anti-codon position. Lineage: Bacteria; Pseudomonadati; Calditrichota. The record is from RNAcentral.